ACUCCUACGGGAGGCAGCAGUGGGGAAUUGUUCGCAAUGGGCGCAAGCCUGACGACGCAACGCCGCGUGAACGAUGACGGCCUUCGGGUUGUAAAGUUCUUUUCUCAGGGAAGAUAAUGACGGUACCUGAGGAAUAAGUCCCGGCUAACUACGUGCCAGCAGCCGCGGUAAU
This 172-nucleotide ribosomal RNA is filed under the name uncultured Chloroflexota bacterium. RNAcentral describes it as "uncultured Chloroflexi bacterium partial 16S ribosomal RNA". It matches the Rfam family "Bacterial small subunit ribosomal RNA", at positions 335 to 524 of the family's 1533-position model. Lineage: Bacteria; Bacillati; Chloroflexota. The record is from RNAcentral.